RNAcentral lists this ribosomal RNA (520 nucleotides) under uncultured Diversispora. Its description in RNAcentral is "SSU rRNA". It matches the Rfam family "Eukaryotic small subunit ribosomal RNA", at positions 569 to 1087 of the family's 1831-position model. The record is from RNAcentral. Lineage: Eukaryota; Fungi; Glomeromycota; Glomeromycetes; Diversisporales; Diversisporaceae.
AGCAGCCGCGGUAAUUCCAGCUCCAAUAGCGUAUAUUAAAGUUGUUGCAGUUAAAAAGCUCGUAGUUGAACUUCGGGGUUUACCCAUUGGUCAGGCUUAAUUGUCUGUACUGGUGAGAUAAAUCUCUACCUUCUGAGGAACUUUCAUGUCAUUAAUUUGGUGUGAUUGGAAAUCAGGACUGUUACUUUGAAAAAAUUAGAGUGUUUAAAGCAGGCUAACGUCUGAAUACAUUAGCAUGGAAUAAUGGAAUAGGACGGACUGAUUCUAUUUCGUUGGUUUCUAGGAUCACCGUAAUGAUUAAUAGGGAUAGUUGGGGGCAUUAGUAUUCAAUUGUCAGAGGUGAAAUUCUUGGAUUUAUUGAAGACUAACUACUGCGAAAGCAUUUGCCAAGGAUGUUUUCAUUAAUCAAGAACGAAAGUUAGGGGAUCGAAGACGAUCAGAUACCGUCGUAGUCUUAACCAUAAACUAUGCCGACUAGGGAUCGGACGAAGUUAAUUUUCAUAAUGACGCGUUCGGCACC